GUCGCGCUCUCGCACUUUCAACGCGCAAAUCAAAUCAUUACCGACUACAUACCCCUAAAUAUAACCAUUUUUUAAUUACAAACAGCUGUUUUGAUUCAUAAUAAGUAAUUUCCUUUUCUAAUUGUAAGUAUAGAAAUCUGAAAAACUUGGAUAUGCGUUACAAAUCGCAGUAGUUCAGCAACCGAUCAACAUUUCAAUUUGCGCCUUUCCCCACUGCUGUCGCCUAUUGACUGUAGCGCUUGCGCGCAACUGCUUACUCGUAACUUUGGCAUGGGAGAUGUUGGUUACGGACUAUAGUAUAGCUUGAGCAGUCCAUGUAUAUAUGGUCGUAGCACACAGGUCACGCAACAGUAUUAAGCACGUGGUUAUGGCACGGUGUAAAAGAACCAUAAGGAAGUAAUCGUGAUAUUGUUCACGUGUUACACUAGUACCCUCUGCAGGAAGACAAGUAACUUUUUCUUUAAGAUCACAGCAAUUUUGUAGUGGGGGUUGCGUAGUCAGUCCACCUAUCUUUCUUACACCGUGGAAAAAGUUAUUCAAAACAUUGAUUUCUACAACAUAUUUAAAAGUCAUCAAAAUCGAUCGUCGAGUCGAGUAUCAACACUGACAAAGCACUGGUUCGUUGCUGGCAACGCCUAACGCAAGAGACUACCGUUUUGCUACUGAGAUAGCAUCAAGGAGCUGACUAUGGACGUGCUCUGAGGAAACGUACAUCAGCCCAAAAUGGCAAGCCGAGACCAAACGCUGGUGGGGACAACACGACCAAACGACGCCCAAGGACUGAUCUGAGGAUCAACGACAUCGAAGGAGGAAUUCUGGAGACAGUCAUCCGAGGAUAUUCAAUUCCGGACCAUCCUCCACCGUCGGACAUCAGGACCUAACGAGAGUUCGAGGAAAAGCAGUCAAGAGCAGCCCGAGGACCAAUUGACUGCGAGAGCAAAGGAUCUUCCAGGGAGCCGCCAGUGAAAACUUCGAACACGUAAUUAGGGAAAGAGAAUUCCUUAUAGAAGAACGCGACUUUAGCUUAAUGCAAACAGAAAACAUGGCAUCUAAUGUACUAACCGUCCUUGCACUAAUAAAAGAAUUGGGGGAAACAUCUCCUACCGAGGUGAUAGCGUUCAUCGACUCAUGUAUGUUAGCAUUAGAGUUAGUGACACCAGACGAUCGACCCCUUCUAUUGCGAGCUAUUUUGACUACAAAACUAACUGGCAGAGUGACAAUGGAACUAAGAUACCGCGAGAUAGGCAACCUAGAGACACUUAAAACAAUAUUACUUUCAUUAUACACAACAAAACGAUCGUUAGGUGCAGUACAGACUGAAUUUAGUAAUUGUAGAUAGCGAGAUUACGACGCCGUGAGAGAAUUUGCAACCAGACUAGAAAAACUGACUAGAAUUGACCGAACUCACAAUUAAUCCAACUAAUAAUAAUGUAACAAACCAAGCCCUAUCGCAAUGCAUUCAAGACCAAGCAUUCAACAUAUUCAGUGUCGGUCUUAAGGAAAAACUUAGAGUAAUAAUUAGAGCGCGCCGAUUCGAGACAUUGCAAGAGCCAAUUGCAUUCGCACUAGAAAAAGAACAAGUCAUGAGACGAGGUACGACUCGAACUUUUGGAUAUCUUAGAGGCUCCGGAAGUUCUAGAGGAAGUAUGGGUUACAGAACCUCUAUUCCACGGUGUGAAAGGUGUCACCGACAAGGGCAUCUAGCAAAAGAUUGCUACGCACGUUUAAGUUUUAGAAUCACAUGCAACUAUUACAAACGACCGAAGAGGAAGAGGAGAGGGGACUGGGGGAGAGGAUAGGGGAAAUCCUGGAGGAGUCGGGGGGAGAGGAAGAAUGGAUGAAAAGAUUGGAAAGGAUGAGGAUGGAUGCAAGAAGAGAGUUAGAGGGGAAAGAUAAGUAAAGGGAGGUUAGGUGAAUGGAUGAAUGGAUGAAUGAAUGAAUGAAUGAAUGAAUGAAUGAAUGGACGGGAGAAAGAUGGAAAAAAAAAGAUAAGGGGGAAUUCCCCGGAAGCGGGGGCGAGCUCUCUCGCUCUCUCGAUCUGGCGUGCGCUGGCGUUAGGAUAGAAUAAGAUAGGUUAAGGAUAGUUGUAAGGUAGAGUUAAGAAAGAUAAGACGACAUCUAUAAGGACUGGGAAUUAAGAAUAGGUUAAGUCAUUGAACUCUAUCCUAACUGGAGUGUGAACUCCCGUAGGAAGAAGUAGAGGCGACGGAGGUCCAAGAGAAAUGCAAAUCCUAUAGAAAAUUUAUUUGUAGAGGGGGGAAUAAACGUACUCCGUAACAUAACCUACCCGAGCAUCGCUGACCAUUGUAGACCUAAAGCAGAAAUGGGCAAAACCCUAGACUUUGAAUAAAUCUGAAGUUUGCCGAUAUGUUUGUCUCGUUUCCUUCUUUGGAAAAUGUUCAAAAGAGGAAACGAGACAAACAUAUCAACGAACUUCAGAUUUAUUCGAAGCCUAGGGUUUUGCCCAUCACUGACCUAAAGCAUUACAUAGCUGUAAUAAAUACAAUAUAAAUUAAAAUUCUGACAAAUAAUAAAAUUUAGGUCUAUACCGAAUUGUAUAUAUUUGUAUGAUCUAAAUUAUGGUAUGUAAAUUAUGUAUACUAUUUCAUUAUUGUGUCAUUAUUAUUAAUGUUUCUAUCGUUUUAUAUAUAAAUAAAAAGGAAAUAAAGUUCAAAUCUGUACGAAUACUUUUUUUACGCAUCAAAUAAUGAGAUAAAAUCAAAUAAAGAGAGUCUGUUCUCCUUCUACACAUAAAUUUGCUAUAGGAUAGUACCGGAACCACUCAUCUUGCAUCUCUCUCGGGCCGGCUUCUAUCUCACAGUUCACACUCCAGUUAGGAUAGAGCUCGAUGGGUUAACCAUAUUGUGUAAUUUUGUAAUUUUGCAAUGAGGAAGCGGAGGUUAUGUAACCCUUACGGGAACAUUAAAAUAAAUACAUACAUAUCGCAAACGA
This is a long non-coding RNA of Hylaeus volcanicus, 2952 nucleotides long. RefSeq lists it as uncharacterized. The transcript has 2 exons. The record is from RefSeq and is a predicted model, not a curated record. Lineage: Eukaryota; Metazoa; Arthropoda; Insecta; Hymenoptera; Colletidae.